GUAGGGAAUAUUGGGCAAUGGUCGGAAGACUGACCCAGCCAUGCCGCGUGCAGGAAGACGGCCCUCUGGGUUGUAAACUGCUUUUAUCUGGGAAGAAAAAGGCCAUGCGUGGCAAAUUGCCGGUACCAGAUGAAUAAGCACCGGCUAACUCCGUGCCAGAAGCCGCGGUAAUACGGAGGGUGCGAGCGUUGUCCGGAUUUAUUGGGUUUAAAGGGUGCGUAGGCGGCUGAUUAAGUCAGGGGUGAAAGACUUCGGCUUAACCGGAGCAGUGCCGUUGAUACUGGUUGGCUUGAGUGUCGGAGGGGUACAUGGAAUUGAUGGUGUAGCGGUGAAAUGCAUAGAUACCAUCAGGAACACCGAUAGCGAAGGCAUUGUACUGGCCGACAACUGACGCUGAUGCACGAAAGUGUGGGGAUCGAACAGGAUUAGAAACCCCAGUAGUCC
This 444-nucleotide ribosomal RNA is filed under the name uncultured bacterium. RNAcentral's name for it is "partial 16S ribosomal RNA". It matches the Rfam family "Bacterial small subunit ribosomal RNA", at positions 354 to 796 of the family's 1533-position model. The record is from RNAcentral.